Molecule: ribosomal RNA, 442 nt
Filed under: uncultured bacterium
Lineage: Bacteria
Description: bacterial SSU rRNA
Rfam family: Bacterial small subunit ribosomal RNA
Source: RNAcentral
AACGCGAAGAACCUUACCUGGGCUUGAACCGCACAGGACCAGCUUCAGAAAUGAGGCCUUCCCGCAAGGGACCUGUGUAGAGGUGCUGCAUGGCUGUCGUCAGCUCGUGCCGUGAGGUGUUGGGUUAAGUCCCGCAACGAGCGCAACCCUUACUCAUAGUUGCUACCCGCAAGGGAGAACUCUAUGAGGACUGCUCCGGAUAACGGAGAGGAAGGUGGGGAUGAGGUCAAGUCAGCAUGGCCUUUAUGUCCAGGGCUACACACGUGUUACAAUGCGCGCCACAAAGCGUCGCGAACCCGCGAGGGGGAGCGUAAUCGGAAAAGCCGGCCUCAGUUCGGAUUGGAGUCUGCAACUCGACUCCAUGAAGCUGGAAUCGCUAGUAAUCGUGGAUCAGCAUGCCACGGUGAAUACGUUCCCGGGCCUUGGUACACACCGUAGAGAC